CAAGUUCUUAAUUUUACUGUCUAUGUGUCUUAGUGAAAAUUUAUUCUCAUUCCCUGUGUUCGUAGAGAGGUAAUCCCCUCUGUCUUUCUAUCAUGUGUGAGUAAGAUUAGCUCAAAGGCCAGAUAAGGUAUUUACAAAGGUCAGCGCUUAUAACUAUCGAUAUCUUGGUAGACAGGUUGGGAAUUAUGGCUUUAUAGAUAACCACAUGGCAGAGACUCGCAGUGGGGUAUGAUCAACAGAUACUUUGCUGUACAUUCAUCUUGAAAUCAUGCAGAAGUUUGAGUUGAAAACACUGAUACCAUCUUGGUCUGUUUUAGGGAUGCAUGAUAUAUGUCAUGCUGAAAAAUAAUCGGCCUAUAAUGGGAAAUUUAUAUUAAUAUGUAUUCUUCCGAUAAUGAAAUUAUAGCCGAUAAUUUCAAGCCAAUAUGCUUUCAGUGCCUUAUUAAGGGCAGCAUCUACACACAGUACAGUAUGUAGUGAUACAGUUUUGAGGUAAGUUUGUGAGCUGCCAAUAAAUACAAAGAGGAAGAAAAAGAUCAAGCGCAGCACGCCGACUACAGAGCAAAACAUGGUGGUCUCUUAUUUGACAUAUCAUCACUUGCUUGAGCCGGAAGUCAUUGUGGUGCGCCAUCUUGAAGAUCAUCCCAAGGCUGUUAUUUCUGCUCUGAGGAGUAACUCCACCUGCCUCAUCUGAAUGGGAUGGCGGAGAAACAGUACAAGAGGACAGACGAAGACAAGGCAAAGUUAAUUUAAUACAGGUCCAAAAAUGAACACCUCUUCACUGAAAAGAGGCAUACAGCCAAGAAGGCCUGAGGGGAGCUCAAAAAUCCACAAAAGGAGACCGACAUGGAGAUGCCACCACAACCACUUGGCCAUGGUUUUCUGUCAUGCAUGAGGCCAUAUGGGAGGCGGCCCCCUGUUGAGCCCUCAGUCCUGAUGGACUCGUGUAGCAAGAAACUAAGACCUCUUGGGGCUGGAGCCACUACUUAGGGCCAGGCGUGUGAGGAGGAGGAUCCUGUACAGCCUGGCAUAAGUAGCAGUACCACCUCAGAUGCAGAUGAUGAGCCAUCCACAUCUGCCUAUCCACCACCUGCCAACAAACAACACAGCUCCAGAGGCACCUCGUUUUCACCGAAUACAUCUCAAUCGUUAUGCUGAUGACUGCGGUGUUUGGAGGUACACUGCAGGUCACGUGGUUCAGCUACGUCGAUGCUGUCUGCCACAAGAACAAGAUACACUGGUUUGCCAGAUAUUUCUCCUAUCUAGUGCUAUUCCACACCGUUAUCUUCCCGGGGCUGUAGCCAUGACGUGGCUAGGCAUGUGAGGAAGAGGAUCCUGCAUAGUUUGGCGGAAGUAGCAUCACAGAGGCGGACGAUGGGGGCGGCAUUGUUGGCGUUCCUGGAGGAUGACGCCAAGAAGGAGGACCAGCAUUUC
Molecule: non-coding RNA, 1434 nt
Organism: Plectropomus leopardus (leopard coralgrouper)
Lineage: Eukaryota; Metazoa; Chordata; Actinopteri; Perciformes; Serranidae
Source: RefSeq, a predicted model, not a curated record